Molecule: ribosomal RNA, 253 nt
Filed under: uncultured bacterium
Lineage: Bacteria
Description: partial 16S ribosomal RNA
Rfam family: Bacterial small subunit ribosomal RNA
Source: RNAcentral
UACGAAGGGGGCUAGCGUUGUUCGGAAUUACUGGGCGUAAAGCGUGCGCAGGCGGCUUCUCAAGUCAGGGGUGAAAGCCCAGAGCUCAACUCUGGAAUUGCCUUUGAGACUGAGAGGCUUGAGUACGGGAGAGGUGAGUGGAAUUCCCAGUGUAGAGGUGAAAUUCGUAGAUAUCGGGAGGAACACCAGUGGCGAAGGCGGCGAUCUGGGAAGAUACUGACGCUGAGGUGCGAAAGCUAGGGGAGCAAACAGG